This 803-nucleotide ribosomal RNA is filed under the name uncultured bacterium. Its description in RNAcentral is "bacterial SSU rRNA". It matches the Rfam family "Bacterial small subunit ribosomal RNA", at positions 1 to 811 of the family's 1533-position model. The record is from RNAcentral.
GAAUUCGCCCUUAGAGUUUGAUCCUGGCUCAGGACGAACGCUGGCGGCGCGCCUAACACAUGCAAGUCGAACGAGCGAGAGAGAGCUUGCUUUCUCGAGCGAGUGGCGAACGGGUGAGUAACGCGUGAGGAACCUGCCUCAAAGAGGGGGACAACAGUUGGAAACGACUGCUAAUACCGCAUAAGCCCACAGGUCGGCAUCGACCAGAGGGAAAAGGAGUAAUCCGCUUUGAGAUGGCCUCGCGUCCGAUUAGCUAGUUGGUGAGGUAACGGCCCACCAAGGCAACGAUCGGUAGCCGGACUGAGAGGUUGAACGGCCACAUUGGGACUGAGACACGGCCCAGACUCCUACGGGAGGCAGCAGUGGGGAAUAUUGCACAAUGGGGGAAACCCUGAUGCAGCGACGCCGCGUGGAGGAAGAAGGUCUUCGGAUUGUAAACUCCUGUUGUUGAGGAAGAUAAUGACGGUACUCAACAAGGAAGUGACGGCUAACUACGUGCCAGCAGCCGCGGUAAAACGUAGGUCACAAGCGUUGUCCGGAAUUACUGGGUGUAAAGGGAGCGCAGGCGGGAAGACAAGUUGGAAGUGAAAUCUAUGGGCUCAACCCAUAAACUGCUUUCAAAACUGUUUUUCUUGAGUAGUGCAGAGGUAGGCGGAAUUCCCGGUGUAGCGGUGGAAUGCGUAGAUAUCGGGAGGAACACCAGUGGCGAAGGCGGCCUACUGGGCACCAACUGACGCUGAGGCUCGAAAGUGUGGGUAGCAAACCAGGAUUAGAUACCCUGGUAGUCCACACCGUAAACGAUG